AAUCAACGCUGGCGGCGUGCCUCAGACAUGCAAGUCGAACGCGAAAGUUUCCUUCGGGAAGCGAGUAGAGUGGCGUCCGGGUGAGUAACACGUAGGUAAUCUACCUUUGGGUGGGGAAUAACAACCGGAAACGGUUGCUAAUACCGCAUAAUGCAGCGGCACCACAUGGUGACAGUUGUUAAAGCGGGGGAUCGCAAGACCUCGCGCCUAAAGAGGAGCCUGCGGCGGAUUAGCUAGNGGUAAGGUAACGGCUUACCAAGGCAACGAUCCGUAGCCGGCCUGAGAGGGCGGUCGGCCACACUGACACUGAAAUACGGGUCAGACUCCUACGGGAGGCAGCAGUCGGGAAUUUUGGGCAAUGGGCGAAAGCCUGACCCAGCAACGCCGCGUGAAGGAUGAAAUCCCUCGGGAUGUAAACUUCGCAAGAACAGGAAGAAUAAGUAGGGACAAUACCCCCUAUGAUGACGGUACUGUUUGUAAG
This 481-nucleotide ribosomal RNA is filed under the name uncultured bacterium. RNAcentral describes it as "bacterial SSU rRNA". It matches the Rfam family "Bacterial small subunit ribosomal RNA", at positions 32 to 490 of the family's 1533-position model. The record is from RNAcentral.